Molecule: ribosomal RNA, 541 nt
Filed under: uncultured bacterium
Lineage: Bacteria
Description: partial 16S ribosomal RNA
Rfam family: Bacterial small subunit ribosomal RNA
Source: RNAcentral
UGGGAAUUUUGGACAAUGGGCGCAAGCCUGAUCCAGCCAUGCCGCGUGCGGGAAGAAGGCCUUCGGGUUGUAAACCGCUUUUGUCAGGGAAGAAAUCUUCUGAGUUAAUACCUCGGGAGGAUGACGGUACCUGAAGAAUAAGCACCGGCUAACUACGUGCCAGCAGCCGCGGUAAUACGUAGGGUGCAAGCGUUAAUCGGAAUUACUGGGCGUAAAGCGUGCGCAGGCGGUUUUGUAAGACAGAGGUGAAAUCCCCGGGCUCAACCUGGGAACUGCCUUUGUGACUGCAAGGCUUGAGUGCGGCAGAGGGGGAUGGAAUUCCGCGUGUAGCAGUGAAAUGCGUAGAUAUGCGGAGGAACACCGUGGCGAAGGCAAUCCCCUGGGCCUGCACUGACGCUCAUGCACGAAAGCGUGGGGAGCAAAACAGAUUAGAUACCCUGGUAGUCCACGCCCUAGACGAUGUCAACUGGUUGUUGGGAAGGUUCCUUCUCAGUAACGUAGCUAACGCGUGAAGUUGACCGCCUGGGGAGUACGGCCGCAA